Molecule: long non-coding RNA, 2259 nt
Filed under: Homo sapiens (human)
Lineage: Eukaryota; Metazoa; Chordata; Mammalia; Primates; Hominidae
Description: LHRI_LNC462.1
Source: RNAcentral
AGACCUGAAGGCUGCUUCCGCUAACCCGGGCUGGCGCUGCUAACCUCACCCAACGAUCCCUGCUGUCGGAAAAUGUCCAGAGGCACCAUCCCUGCUAUGAAGAGGGAAUGCCAGUACAACAGCCACAAGGGGUCUUCCUGUGGCCCUCAAACAAAAAAUCACUGCAUUACAUCAGCAGACUGCAUUGGAGAGAAAGGCGCCGGGACAGAAAAGCCUGAGAUAAACCACCUGUCAUUCUUGGAGAAAAGGAUGCUGCGGCUUUCCCGAUUUGGUUGAUGAGAUGGAAAAUCAACCCUUACAGGAAGGACAUCACCAAUUCCGGAAAGGAUGCUGCGCCAGUCAUGUUUCCGCACUCUGUGAGACGUUGAAAUCUCCAGAAGUUGCCCAAGGUUUUCAAGCUGAACACAGGAGAAAUGACUCUGGAUCUCUGAGGACUGUUUUCCUCAAUAAGGAGCUGCAAUCUUGGCUCCACCACCCUCCCUCCAAAACAUCUCGUGUGUCUGGUAUCUGGUUAUAUUGUGGCCUGACAGAGAAGUUUCUUUCGGGGCCAGUGAAUUAAAAAAAAAAAAAAAAAGAAAAGCGGGUCCUACCAACUCAUUAAUACUUUAAUACUUUAAAUUUCCCUCUUUAUAGUAGGUUGAAAUGUCAGUAUCUCUUAAGAACAAUGGCUGAACCAAAUGUUUCCUCAAAACUCACAUUUUUUCCCACCAUUUCAGAAGCUGCCUCAGGACUAAGCUUUGAUUUUUUUUUUUUUUUUUAAUCUGGCCCAAAUUCCUAUCUAAGGGGCCUGGGGAGUCAUGCCCAACAAACCAUAAAUUCUCAUCAGAUGAGUUUUAUUUAACCCUAUAUAUGGUGACUUGCUUUCCAGUCUGACUCUGGCAUGACAUGUGACAAAGAAGAAAGUCAAAAUAUUUUACCCCAAAACAUGUUUCUUUGCCAUAUUUUGAAAUGGUCCUGCAAAGCUGUGCUUUGUGGGGGAAAAUAUGCAUCUGUAAAGAAUCUCUAUUAACACAGCUAGAUCUUUUUCUUCCAGGCCCUCCCAAUCCUGAAGAGACUGAGAGUCUAGCAUUGUUUUAAAGGUCUGAAUAGGAAACAUUUGUCAUCUAUCAUCUCUAAGGGUAGCCAUUAUAAGACUUCAAAAGAACCUUUUGAAGUAUUAUAAUCUUUUAUCUUAACCUGAACAUGUGCUUCCUAUUGAUCCCAGGUCUUCAGACAAUUGUGAACUCAACCAUUUGUCAAUUAGAAAAUGUUUAAAUUGGCUGGGCACAGUGUCUCAUGCCUCUAAUCCCAGCACUUUGGAAGACCAAGGCGGGCAGAUUGCCUGACCUCAGGAGUUCGAGACCAGCCUGGGCAACAUGGUGAAACCCCGUCUCUACUAAAAUACAAAAAUUUAGCCGGGCGUAGUGGCAUGCACCUGUAGUCCCAGCUACUUGGGAAGCUGAGGAAGGAGAAUUGCUUGAACCCGGCGGGCAGAGGUUGCAGUAAGCAGAGAUCGUGCCACUGCACUCCAGCUUGGGCAACAAAGUGAGACUCCAUCACAGAAAAAAAAAAGAAAAUGUUUACCUUUACCUAUAGCCUGGAAAUCCCUGCUUUGAGUUGCUCCAUCUUUCUGAACCAAACCAAUGUUAUUUCUUAAACGUAUUUCAUUGAUGUCUCAUGCCUCCCUAAAAUGUAUAAAACCAAGCUGUGCCCCGAACACCUUGGGCACAUGUUCUCAGGACCUCCUGAGGGCCGUGUCACGGGUCAUAAUCACUCAUAUUUGGCUCAGAAUAAAUCUCUUCAAACAUUUUACAGAGUUGACUCUUAGUCAACAUGUCCAUACCUGAUGAGAUGCUUCAUCAAAAUUCUAGUGGACUGGCUAGUUCAGAAAAUGGACCAGCCAGGUUUGCUUAAAUGCACCCCUGCACAACUAUCUCACUCCUGCUUGGAGCCGGCUAGAUCAGGAGACCUGUCCCUAAACUAAUGUACUCCAUGUCUUAAGUCUUUUUGUUUUGUUUUGUUUUUGUUUUUGACAGAGUCUCAGUCUGUCACCCAGGCUGGAGUGCAGUGGCGUGAUCUUGGCUCGCUGCAACCUCCGCCUCCCAGGUUCAAGAGAUUCUCCUGUCUCAGCCUCCCAAGUAGCUGGGACAACAGGUGUGCACCACCAUGCCCUGCUAAUUUUUGUGUUUUAAGUAGAGAUGGGGUCUCACCCUGUUGGCCAGGCUGGUCUCAAAUUCCUGACCUCAGGUGAUCCACCCACCUCGGCCUCCCAAAGUGCUG